CUGGGAUGGGGGCGCCUCGGGACUGAGGGUAAUACCCCAUAGGAGAUUGAGGCUGGAAUGCGCUUUCUCUAAAAGCUUCGGCGCCUAUGGAUGAGACUGCGGCCGAUUAGGCUGUUGGUGAGGUAACGGCCCACCAAACCAAUGAUCGGUAGGGGCCUUGAGAGGGGUAGCCCCGAAAAGGACACUGAGAUAAGGGUCCUAGCCCUACGGGGUGCAGCAGGCGGGAAAACUUUACAAUGUACGAAAGUGCGAUAAGGGAACCCAAAGUGCCUACGCCUUGAGUGUAGGCUUUUUGCAAGAGUAAAAAUCUUGUAGAAUAAGUGAUGGGUAAGACGGGUGCCAGCCGCCGCGGUAAUCCCCGCGUCACGAGUGGCAAUCACAUUUAUUGGGCCUAAAGCGUCCGUAGCCGGUCUGGCAAGUUCCUUGUGAAAUCGUAAGGCUCAACUUUACGGCGUGCAAGGAAUACUACUAGACUUGGAACUGGGAGGGGUGGGAGGUAUUCCCGGGUUAGCGGUAAAAUGUUAUAACCCCGGGAGGACCACCGAUGGCGAAGGCAUCCCACUAGAACAGGUUCGACGGUGAGGGACGAGAGCUGGGGGAUCAAUCCGGAUUAGAUACCCGAGUAGUCCCAGCUGUAAACCCUGCGUGUUAGGCGUUGCCAAAACUUCGUGUUUUGGCAGUGUCGUAGUGAAGGCGUUAAACACGCCGCCUGGGGAGUACGGUCGCAAGGCUGAAACUUGAAGGAAUUGGCGGGGGAGCAC
Molecule: ribosomal RNA, 761 nt
Filed under: uncultured archaeon
Lineage: Archaea
Description: bacterial SSU rRNA
Rfam family: Archaeal small subunit ribosomal RNA
Source: RNAcentral